GCCCUAAGGCAGAUAAGGAGGCAAAGCAGGAAGGUGACACCUCGAGCGAAGCACUGCUUGAUGAGGAGGCGGUUGUGGAGGAGGGGGAAGUAUCUGGAGAUUGUAGUGAUAUCCAAAAUGGAGCAUCCCAGAAGACUGCCUUGAAUAAAUCCACUAUGUCCUCCUGUGAUAUCUCUGUGAAGGGGCCUAAGUGGUGCGCACUUCGUGAAGCUUGUUACCAGGAUAUUGAUCCCCCAUGUGCACGGCCCAUGAUCUUUAAUAAACAUCAAUACUUCUUUUCUGAUGCGCUUCUUGGAAGUUUUGUCGUGAAAAACCGUUGUCCUAGCUUCAUAGGAAGUGUAACUUCCUACCGGCUUUCGAAGUGUUCCCUUCACAAUACGCCAUCAUGUGGCAGCGUCCACCCUCAGAGUGAUUCUAUUGAGAAGCCACCCACUCAGACAUGUGGUAGCAGAGGGUGGCUCUUAUCAUCCACCAGAAUUUUAUGUAAAGUGCUAUCGAUCGUUUAUGAAGGUCCCCAGAACCAGAUAUGGUGAAAACCCAAUAUAUACUGGAAAACCCAAUAUUUUAAUAAAUUGAAUCUCAUCAAAUAUAUAGAUG
This is a long non-coding RNA of Ochotona curzoniae (black-lipped pika), 597 nucleotides long. RefSeq lists it as uncharacterized. The transcript has 4 exons. Lineage: Eukaryota; Metazoa; Chordata; Mammalia; Lagomorpha; Ochotonidae. The record is from RefSeq and is a predicted model, not a curated record.